Non-coding RNA from Annulohypoxylon nitens, 94 nucleotides. NCBI's taxonomy places the organism in Eukaryota, Fungi, Ascomycota, Sordariomycetes, Xylariales, Hypoxylaceae. The record is from the annotation of a GenBank genome assembly.
GGCUGCCUGGCGAAAUGGUAUCGCGUCACUUUCCGGUUGGGUUUAUCCCUCUAGAACAUGGUGAAGAUUGCGGGUUCGAGUCCCGUGGUGGUCG